This is a microRNA precursor of Apaloderma vittatum (bar-tailed trogon), 91 nucleotides long. It matches the Rfam family "mir-7 microRNA precursor family". From Rfam's summary of the family: This family represents the microRNA (miRNA) precursor mir-7. In this case the mature sequence comes from the 5' arm of the precursor. The extents of the hairpin precursors are not generally known and are estimated based on hairpin prediction. The record is from Rfam. NCBI's taxonomy places the organism in Eukaryota, Metazoa, Chordata, Aves, Trogoniformes, Trogonidae.
UGGCCUAGUUCUGUGUGGAAGACUAGUGAUUUUGUUGUUUUUAGAUAACUAAACUGACAACAAAUCACAGUCUGCCAUAUGGCACAGACCA